This 253-nucleotide ribosomal RNA is filed under the name uncultured bacterium. RNAcentral's name for it is "partial 16S ribosomal RNA". It matches the Rfam family "Bacterial small subunit ribosomal RNA", at positions 524 to 776 of the family's 1533-position model. The record is from RNAcentral.
UACAGAGGGUGCGAGCGUUAAUCGGAAUUACUGGGCGUAAAGCGUGCGUAGACGGUUAUGUAAGUCAGGUGUGAAAGCCCCGGGCUCAACCUGGGAAUUGCAUUUGAGACUGCAUAGCUAGGGUGCGGAAGAGGGAAGCGGAAUUUCCGGUGUAGCGGUGAAAUGCGCAGAUAUCGGGAGGAACACCGAUGGCGAAGGCAGGUCUCUGGGCCACUACUGACGCUGAGAAGCGAAAGCAUGGGGAGCGAACAGG